Molecule: small nuclear RNA, 104 nt
Organism: Denticeps clupeoides (denticle herring)
Lineage: Eukaryota; Metazoa; Chordata; Actinopteri; Clupeiformes; Denticipitidae
Source: Ensembl
GUUUGCACAGCUGUACAUAUACUAAAAUUGGAUCGAUACAGAGAAGAUUAGCAUGGCCCCUGCGAAAGGAUGACACUCAAAUCCGUGAAGCGUUCCAUAUUUUG